Long non-coding RNA from Drosophila serrata, 368 nucleotides. NCBI's taxonomy places the organism in Eukaryota, Metazoa, Arthropoda, Insecta, Diptera, Drosophilidae. The record is from RefSeq and is a predicted model, not a curated record.
AUUAAUUUAAGAUGUGACAUCCAGUGAAGGCAAUAAUAAAUAUAUUAACAACCCGCCAGCAGAGUGUGCAGUGUUUUUGUUACUGUUACUGCGUAAAACGUGUUAAGUGGAGCAUAUCGUUUGGAAAGGACGGAUGCAUUGAGGAAGGGCAAAAACAAUGGAGCUGCCGUGAAAAUUGAUUAAACAAAACAACAACAUCGGGACUGAAGAGUGAAGGGAGACCAGUGCCCAGCGAGAGCAAAGGAGAUAAAUAAUGCACAAAAUGGUUAAAUUAUUCCUCAGUUGAAAGUGAAAGUGGCGUCGCAGAGAGAUCGCACGGAACAAAAUGGACAAUUUAUGCUAAAUGCAAAUGCAAAUGCUAAAUGCGA